AGAGUUUGAUCCUGGCUCAGGAUGAACGCUGGCGGCGUGCCUAAUACAUGCAAGUCGAGCGAACAGAUAAGGAGCUUGCUCCUUUGACGUUAGCGGCGGACGGGUGAGUAACACGUGGGUAACCUACCUAUAAGACUGGAAUAACUCCGGGAAACCGGGGCUAAUGCCGGAUAACAUGUUGAACCGCAUGGUUCUACAGUGAAAGACGGUCUUGCUGUCACUUAUAGAUGGACCCGCGCCGUAUUAGCUAGUUGGUGGGGUAACGGCCUACCAAGGCGACGAUACGUAGCCGACCUGAGAGGGUGAUCGGCCACACUGGAACUGAGACACGGUCCAGACUCCUACGGGAGGCAGCAGUAGGGAAUCUUCCGCAAUGGGCGAAAGCCUGACGGAGCAACGCCGCGUGAGUGAUGAAGGUCUUCGGAUCGUAAAGCUCUGUUGUUAGGGAAGAACAAAUGUGUAAGUAACUGUGCACAUCUUGACGGUACCUAACCAGAAAGCCACGGCUACUACGUGCCAGCAGCCGCGGUAAUACGUAGGUGGCAAGCGUUAUCCGGAAUUAUUGGGCGUAAAGCGCGCGUAGGCGGUUUUUUAAGUCUGAUGUGAAAGCCCACGGCUCAACCGUGGAGGGUCAUUGGAAACUGGAAAACUUGAGUGCAGAAGAGGAAAGUGGAAUUCCAUGUGUAGCGGUGAAAUGCGCAGAGAUAUGGAGGAACACCAGUGGCGAAGGCGGCUUUCUGGUCUGCAACUGACGCUGAUGUGCGAAAGCGUGGGGAUCAAACAGGAUUAGAUACCCUAGUAGUCC
Molecule: ribosomal RNA, 805 nt
Filed under: uncultured bacterium
Lineage: Bacteria
Description: bacterial SSU rRNA
Rfam family: Bacterial small subunit ribosomal RNA
Source: RNAcentral